RNAcentral lists this ribosomal RNA (494 nucleotides) under uncultured bacterium. Its description in RNAcentral is "partial 16S ribosomal RNA". It matches the Rfam family "Bacterial small subunit ribosomal RNA", at positions 28 to 507 of the family's 1533-position model. The record is from RNAcentral.
GACGAACGCUGGCGGCGUGCUUAACACAUGCAAGUCGAACGGAAAGGCCUGCUUUCCCUUGUGGAUUGCGGGUACUCGAGUGGCGAACGGGUGAGUAACACGUGAGUGAUCUGCCCCCAACUUGGGUAUAAGCCUGGGAAACUGGGUCUAAUUCCCGAUAGGACUGCAGGGUGGUGCCUGUGGUGGAAAACGAUUUUCUAGUGGUUGGGGAUGAGCUCGCGGCCUAUCAGCUUGUUGGUGGGGUAAUGGCCUACCAAGGCGGCGACGGGUAGCCGGCCGGAGAGGGGGGACGGCCACAUUGGGACUGGGAUACGGCCCAGACUCGUACGGGAGGCAGCAGUGGGGAAUAAUGCACAAUGGGCGGAAGCCUGAUGCAGCGACGCCGCGUGGGGGAUGACGGCCUUCGGGUUGUAAACUCCUUUCGACCGCGAGGAAGCCACCUGGUUGGAAGGGUGGUGACGGUAGUGGUAGAAGAAGCACCGGCUAACUACGUG